Long non-coding RNA from Vigna angularis (adzuki bean), 446 nucleotides. RefSeq lists it as uncharacterized. NCBI's taxonomy places the organism in Eukaryota, Viridiplantae, Streptophyta, Magnoliopsida, Fabales, Fabaceae. The record is from RefSeq and is a predicted model, not a curated record. The transcript is spliced from 3 exons.
UAAGAUAACUCACCAUCAAAAUCUCUGCUUCCAUUUCAGAAACCGUAGGAUCGUUCACGGUGUCGUGAGCUUUCAUUUGAACCGAACAGAACUGACUCCGAACUGUUAGAUUGAGUGAAACGCUUGAGAAGCACGUUGAGGGUAGGAAAACGGUAUUUGGGCAAGUUAAAAGCAUUCGCUUAGGGAGUUCACUGCUAGACCAGAUGGAGAGGCGCCACUUGAAGAUAUGCUGGAAGAAGAAAAUUUGGCGGACGCCAAUCUAGUCGAGGUGGAGGUUAAGGCCGAGCAGUAGAUCGCUCGUUCUUUAGUAGCUAUUAGUGGCUUUAUUGUUGUUUUGGGACGUUCGGUUGUGUAGUUUUGUAAAACCGCUCGUCCAGAUCUUGACGCCUGUUAUUUAGUUUCUGAACGUUGUAAGUUUUGUGCAUUCGUUUUUAAUAGCUGCUGUA